RNAcentral lists this ribosomal RNA (301 nucleotides) under uncultured bacterium. RNAcentral's name for it is "partial 16S ribosomal RNA". It matches the Rfam family "Bacterial small subunit ribosomal RNA", at positions 509 to 808 of the family's 1533-position model. The record is from RNAcentral.
CAGUCGCCGCGGUAAUACGGAGGGUGCAAGCGUUACUCGGAAUCACUGGGCGUAAAGGGAGCGCAGGCGGACAUAUAAGUCCAUCUUAAAAGUGCGGGGCUCAACCCCGUGAGGGGAUGGAAACUGUAUGCCUUGAGUGCAGGAGAGGAAAGCGGAAUUCCCAGUGUAGCGGUGAAAUGCGUAGAUAUCAUGACGAACUCCGAUUGCGAAGGCAGCGUACGGGAGUGUUACUGACGCUUAAGCUCGAAGGUGCGGGUAUCGAACAGGAUUAGAUACCCGGGUAGUCCCUGUCUCUUAUACA